Molecule: ribosomal RNA, 915 nt
Filed under: Thelohanellus sp. 2 2015
Lineage: Eukaryota; Metazoa; Cnidaria; Myxozoa; Bivalvulida; Myxobolidae
Description: bacterial SSU rRNA
Rfam family: Eukaryotic small subunit ribosomal RNA
Source: RNAcentral
AUUUGGGACCGGCCACGACUAACAAAUGCAAAGGCACUUGUCUAGACCGUUUCCAUUAAUCAAGAACGAAAGUGGGAGGUUCGAAGACGAUCAGAUACCGUCCUAGUUCCCACCGUAAACUAUGCCGACCUGGGAUCAGUUCAGAGAUGUUACAAGCUCUGGAUUGGUCCCCCUGGGAAACCUGAAGUUUUUCGGUUACGGGGAAAGUAUGGUCGCAAGGCUGAAACUUAAAGGAAUUGACGGAAGGGCACCACCAGGGGUGGAGCCUGCGGCUUAAUUUGACUCAACACGGGGAAACUUACCUGGUCCGGACAUCGAUAGGAUUAACAGAUCAAUAGCUCUUUUAUGAUACGAUGAGUGGUGGUGCAUGGCCGUUCUUAGUUCGUGGAGUGAUCUGUCGGCCUAAUCGCGGUAACGAACGAGACCACAGUCUCCAUUUAAGAGAUAGAAGAAGACAUGUGCAGUUUGGUGAGGUGGCACUCGCUGCUACCUCAUCAGCUGUUGGUUGCAGGAAGGAUGAAGCGCUCAUGUCGGUGAGUUUGUGGGGAAACUUGCGCUCUCAUCGGUGUGAGUGUAUCAUUUCUCCCUUCUAUCACGCAGUAGUCGGUAUCAACUGGCUGCUGCCUUAUGGAGAGACAACGAGGUAUAUACAAGCUCGAGGAAGAGUGGCUAUAACAGGUCAGUGAUGCCCUUCGAUGUUCAGGGCUGCACGCGCGCUACAAUGAUAACGACAACGAGUGUCUGCGUCGAAAGACGUGGGUAAUCUUUAAUCGUUAUCGUGAUGGGGAUUGACCGUUGUAAUUAUCGGUCAUGAAAGAGGAAUCCCUAGUAUGCGCAUUUUAUUAGAAUGUGCAGAUUGAGUCCCUGCCCUUUGUACACACCGCCCGUCGCUACUACCGAGUGAUGUGUGUGUGC